This 462-nucleotide ribosomal RNA is filed under the name uncultured bacterium. Its description in RNAcentral is "partial 16S ribosomal RNA". It matches the Rfam family "Bacterial small subunit ribosomal RNA", at positions 28 to 507 of the family's 1533-position model. The record is from RNAcentral.
GACGAACGCUGGCGGCGUGCUUAACACAUGCAAGUCGAACGGUGAAGCCCUUCGGGGUGGCUCAGUGGCGAACGGGUGAGUAACGCGUGAGCAACCUGCCCCUGGCUCUGGGACAACCACUGGAAACGGUGGCUAAUACCGGAUACGACCCGCCUCGGCAUCGAGUGUGGGUGGAAAGUUUUUCGGCUGGGGAUGGGCUCGCGGCCUAUCAGCUUGUUGGUGAGGUGAAGGCUCACCAAGGCGACGACGGGUAGCCGGCCUGAGAGGGCGACCGGCCACACUGGGACUGAGACACGGCCCAGACUCCUACGGGAGGCAGCAGUGGGGAAUAUUGCACAAUGGGCGAAAGCCUGAUGCAGCGACGCCGCGUGAGGGAUGACGGCCUUCGGGUUGUAAACCUCUUUCAGCUCCGAAGAAGCGAAAGUGACGGUAGGAGCAGAAGAAGCACCGGCUAACUACGUG